GACAACUUUCAACUUCCAACGAAAGAACAAAGGACUUCCAGGAUGCAAACAUCUAAAGGUUAUCGUUCGGUUUUCUAUAAUGAACAAAAUCCAUGCAUUUUAGAAUAAAACUAAAGAUAACUAAAAUUAAAUAAGAAUUAAAAGAUUCAAAAAUGAGCAAAGAAACAACAAGCGGAUUUAUGGUAAGACAAUAAACGAAAUACACGACGAUCAACAACAACCAACAAUAACCACCGAGUUAUUCAUAAAUCGUUGGCUCUAAAAUUAAGGUUUAACGUUCCUAAUCAAAAUAAUUGAGAAAUAUAAUUCGGACGCCCAAAAUAUACAACAUGUCAUUUUAGAGACUGGCAAAAUCAUAACAAGAAACAAAAAGCACGAAAUAAACC
This 386-nucleotide long non-coding RNA is filed under the name Mytilus galloprovincialis (Mediterranean mussel). Lineage: Eukaryota; Metazoa; Mollusca; Bivalvia; Mytilida; Mytilidae. The record is from RNAcentral.